RNAcentral lists this non-coding RNA (192 nucleotides) under Lentibacillus amyloliquefaciens. The record is from RNAcentral. Lineage: Bacteria; Bacillati; Bacillota; Bacilli; Caryophanales; Bacillaceae.
AUAGUGUUGGCGAAUCAAGGUGACAUCUUCGUCUUAAAAGGGAAUCCGGUGAGAAUCCGGAACUGUCCCCGCAACUGUAAGUGUGGACGAACAGGCUAUCCACUGUAUUGCGAGCUUCAUGGCAGCUAUAUGGGAAGGGCCUCAGUAGACAGAAGCACGAGUCAGGAGACCUGCCUGGGUUCGGACGUUUCA